CCACCCCAUCGCUCUCUCUCUCACUCUCUCUCAUUCUCCAUCCCAUCCAGAUCCCGCCGCCCCAACCCUCUCACCCUUCCCAUCCACAGGGAGCCCCGCCUUUUCCCGGCGAGUCGCACCGCCCCAACCCUCUCCCACCCUCAUCUCGUAGCUCCCCUUCCCUUCAUCAUGCUCGGGCUCCCUCCCUCUUCUGCGGCCUGGACCCAUGUGCUUGGCGGAGCCGUGGCGGGGGAGCUUUACCGGCUACGUCGUCGUGGGUUCACCGGAGUGAAACGCCGGACUUUUUCGGGAGAAGACGCUGUUGCGACGCCUCUCUGCCAUCACCGGUGCUGCCAUUUUCGUCGGGCGUCGUGUGCGACCCACAACAUUGGGGACACACCAGUUUCGUCGGUCGAUUCAGACCCAACUCCAUCCCCGCUUCUUCCCUCGAGCCAGCGAUAGCUGUUCUAUUCCAUCCCCGUUUAAUUUUGAGUACUGGAGUCCAAGGCGAGCGCAACUAUGGCAGGGAAUGAGUUUGAGUAGGUGCGUGGGAUGAAUCCAUCAAUUAUUGUAUUUGGCCUGCUCUCCCAAGCUGCUGCCUCGAGGUCGCCAUACUUCGCAAAAAUCAUGACGGUGCUGCGUUGUGCUCACCAUGCCCAGAAAUUGGGGGUCACGAGGAGGAAGACAAUGGCACGCACGAGGAAAUUAGAGACGGCGGUGGCACCAAACAUUACUUGAGCCUGAUCGUUUUUUUUUUGCUAGCUUAGCGUUUUGCUUUCAUAGGUUUGGAGCUCUAAAUUUAAGCUUUUCGUCUGAAUCUUCAUUUGAUCCACAGGCUUCUGAUCGUUCUGAACAAAUGCUUCAACUCUUUGUUGUUUCAUUUGAUUUUUGGAAGUUCAUUAGAUUUUGGUAAGUUGUUUGAUUUCCCUUAAUCGAUUUCUGAAUCUCCUCCCUUCUUUAGUGGAGCUCCCUGCAAGUGUUAUUUUAAUUCAUGGUUAAAUUCUAUUUUGGUGUUGGCUGUUGAGAAUAUCAGAUGAGACAAGCAAUGGAAUGGACUGUGUGGACAAUCACAGGAAUGGUGUUCCGUGGAUAGGUCAUGUGUUGGAGAGGGAACGACACGUUGCAGCAGCGAGAGGUCUUGCCUCUUUUCUGCUGUUCUUGCUUCUCCCCUAUGAUUUUUUAGUUGGUUGUCUUGGAGAGGAAACGACAAGCUGCAGCAGCCAGAGUAGUAGGAGAAGCAGCUUCAACUCCCACGGCAUGUUCUACAUUUUUCUGCACUGAUGUAUUUGUUAUGGUCCAACUGAAUUAGUUUUGACUGCAUCUUAUUCUCUGUAGUCUCUGAGAUUUGUUCUCUAGUUCAAACUGUGCGUCAACUGUUCAAAUGAAUGUCUUAAUUAAAAGAACACUGUUUGAUGGAAUGCCAGAAAAGAAUGCACGUCUUUUUCCUGGCUAAAAAUUCGUUCAGAGUGUUCUGUUUUUUCUAUCUGGUAAAUUUCAUUGGCCUCAGAGUUGAUUCCCUCUUUUAAUUCAUUUGGUGUGGUUUUCUAAAUGAAGAAGCAGAACCAUUUUGGUUGUUAUUCACUACUGCUCCUCAUGGUCCAUUCCCUUGGAUUUGGAAAGCGGAUUUGAUGUUGGAUUUGUUGAAAUAGCCACUGGCGAGGCAGUGCUUGAUUUCGUGAACAUCAACACUUUUUUUCAUACUGAGAACUUGGCAACAUCAGCAUGAGUUCUUCCCUUAACUUCUCUUUCUUUCCAAUGGACUUCUUAUUGCGGCUAUUAUGGACAAUGAGAGGGCUUCUGCGAUUUUCUGUUCGUGAGUUUGGAGAUCAGUUCCCCACGACCCGCACCAUGGAUCGGUAAUGGAUUUUUUUUGUUGCAGGUCUAUUUUUCUGAACCUCUCUUUUUAUCUCAGAGCUUUUUAAUUUGUUUGUGAGCUUGAGGAGGCUCAGCAAUUAGUAUCAGCACCUCACCACUUCCGCGCGUCCGCUGCAGUCAAGGUGUUUGACCUCCACCUCCCCCGCCUGAUACAGGGCUCGAUGCUGCUAUAAAAUCCCGUGCGAAAUUUUCGAUUCAUGGAGCUAGCUACAACCGAACCAGGUGAUGAAAAGCACCUGAUGAUCCCACUCCGGCGCCUGGUAACUAGGCUCACUAGGAUAGCCCCCAUGGAGACGUCUUGGCAGUUGCGGCCAGCAUUUGUUUGUGUUGAUGCCUGAAUGAAAACAACAUGGUGUAGUGUUGCAUAUGAUCAUUUAGUUUUGCUUUCCUUUUUCCAAUCUUGUGUGAAUUGUAUAGCUGUUUCUCAAGAACUCGUAACUUCUGUUGUUGGGAAUUUUAGGGAGAUGUAAAUCUGAAUAAAUAGGAGUAUUAAGUGAAACACAUGUUGAAUUUGACCUCUUUUGUCAUAUAGUUUGCUUCCUUUUUUCCAAUCUUACAUGAAUUUUGUUGUCUAACAGAUGGGCUCUGAGUUUGGACUUGGGCAUGGCCGCCGUGCAGUCCGCCACCGCUGUCUCCCCCUCUGCGUCAGCAUCCCGUCUCCUGCAGGACCAUGGCCUCCGCAGCGCCGGCGUCAUCGAGCACAGCAAUGCCGACGCCACUGGGGCGUGUAGUAUACUGGAGGCUCUGUGUCAUACGAGUAGAUCAUCCAAGAUGGUUCCCACUUGCACAUCAAUGUUCACAAGUACUUGCAGUACUAGUUUGUUUUAGGCUGCUGCUGUAAUCAACUAUGUGCUUCCUAGUCAUUUUCUGCAUCGUAUUGAACAUUAUUUAGUUUAAUGUAUGGCAUGAAACUAUUUUCACCAGCCUUGUUGCCUUCCACAUUGCAGUUAUCUUUAACCCUGGUUGAAUGGCUUGA
Molecule: long non-coding RNA, 2830 nt
Organism: Triticum urartu
Lineage: Eukaryota; Viridiplantae; Streptophyta; Magnoliopsida; Poales; Poaceae
Source: RefSeq, a predicted model, not a curated record